UGCGCAGUGCUAAGUUAAACUUUUUAUAUUUCAAAAAGGCUGGUGAAACGUGUUUAUAAGUAUUCAAGUAUUUCUUCUGUAAUAGAAUAUUGUACUUGUUUGCGAUACAAUUGUUUGUCGCUUUCUUCAUAAGUAAGCAUAAUCUUUCUUGACAAAUAAUCUCGUACAUGGCAAUGAAUUAGUGUUAUUAAUGUGGCAUUCGUAUUUGGUUAAUCUGGAAUCUUUGGUUAAUCGUGCUUCAUAUAUACAAAGUAUGUUUUAAGUCUCUGUAGAUGAUGCCCAGUGAAUGAAGGUGUUGAAGUCCUUCUACGACACAGCCGGUUAUAAAUCUAGUUGUUGAAUUAUCGAAUCGGCCGUUUCUGUAUAAGGCUGUUCUUAAAUCUCCGCCUAAACAUACUUCCAGUAGCAGGAGUUGGCUCAGAGAGUGGCGUUGGAGUUUUGCCGAUAAUACCGCCUCUGGGAUUCGCAGGUUGAUCAGAACCAUCCGAAGUUCUGACAGAAUCUUGAUCGUUCUCAUUGUGAUUUUGUUGUGGUGGCAAUGGUGCCCUACUUUUUCCAUGGGACUGUACAGGUGGGCCGAUUCCAUUAGAUAUUACCGUAGCACCAGUUCCCACAUAUGCAUACGUGCAGCAAUCAGGCCAACUGUGGCUGUUUCUUUCGGGACGACUAGCGAGAGAAUCAUACGACAUAAAACUAUGGUGCAGUCCUUGUCUGGAAAAUGUUCAAACUUACUAAGGUCGUACUGUUCACAUUGUUCGACUCAUUCCCAGACAGAGAGACAAGAUUGAUACUGCCCCUCUGUCCCAGGAUACUUGGCUUCGGGAAGCACGAGAACUUCAUACUUUGUUCAUCCACAGCAUGACGGAAACACACUCUUUUAACUUCUGAAAGAUGUUUUGCCGAGAUCUACUAUCGAGAUCGUCGACUCCCGUAAAAGCUACCGUCAAACAAAAAGUUUUUACGCCAGACGAUCACGAGCACGUGGUUUAGCUGAUCACAUGCUUAUGCUAAUGAUCUUUGAUGCACGAUACAUCGUAUGCUGACGUCACGACAUAUUAGCACAUUCUCACGAUGUGGAUAUUCUCGUUUCAAG
RNAcentral lists this unclassified non-coding RNA (1093 nucleotides) under Bombus terrestris (buff-tailed bumblebee). RNAcentral describes it as "misc RNA ENSBTSG00005029792.1". The record is from RNAcentral. Lineage: Eukaryota; Metazoa; Arthropoda; Insecta; Hymenoptera; Apidae.